AGUUCCAACGACUCUAAAACUCGAGAACUGCUUAAAUGCUAGUCUGCGUUUAGCAGGCAACACUGUCAAAUUGCGGGAACACCCUAAAGACCUCAACACCAAGCGCUCACGGGAAACCGUGGCGUGGCCGAGCUAAUAGCCCUGGGUAUGGUAACAGUUUGAGGUAUGAAGCCCCUUUUGGGGCAGAAAUGGGCAAUCCGCAGCCAAGUCCUAACGCACUUCGGUGUUAUGGAUGCUGUUCACAGGCCAAAUGGUAGUGGGUGACUUUCGGGUUGCUUAAGAUAUGGUCGGGCCCCUUCAGAAAUGUCGGGGAUAAGUUUACGCAGUUACUCAGUGCUUGCAUUGGGUGACGAAGAACUCAUGUAGCGUAAAAACUGCGCUGAGUAAGAACAAACCGUUCCGUAGGUGAACCUGCGGAAGGAUCAUUA
This 428-nucleotide ribosomal RNA is filed under the name Parapyrenochaeta protearum. Its description in RNAcentral is "partial 18S ribosomal RNA". The stretch from base 24 to 311 matches the Rfam family "Group I catalytic intron". Rfam says of the family: Group I catalytic introns are large self-splicing ribozymes. The record is from RNAcentral. Lineage: Eukaryota; Fungi; Ascomycota; Dothideomycetes; Pleosporales; Parapyrenochaetaceae.